GACGAACGCUGGCGGCGUGCUUAACACAUGCAAGUCGAACGGAAAGGCCCUGCUUUUGUGGGGUGCUCGAGUGGCGAACGGGUGAGUAACACGUGAGUAACCUGCCCUUGACUGUGGGAUAACUUCAGGAAACUGGGGCUAAUACCGGAUAGGAGCUCCUGCUGCAUGGUGGGGGUUGGAAAGUUUCGGCGGUUGGGGAUGGACUCGCGGCUUAUCAGCUUGUUGGUGGGGUAGUGGCUUACCAAGGCUUUGACGGGUAGCCGGCCUGAGAGGGUGACCGGCCACAUUGGGACUGAGAUACGGCCCAGACGCCUACGGGAGGCAGCAGUGGGGAAUAUUGCACAAUGGGCGGAAGCCUGAUGCAGCAACGCCGCGUGCGGGAUGACGGCCUUCGGGUUGUAAACCGCUUUCGCCUGUGACGAAGCGUGAGUGACGGUAAUGGGUAAAGAAGCACCGGCUAACUACGUG
Molecule: ribosomal RNA, 468 nt
Filed under: uncultured bacterium
Lineage: Bacteria
Description: partial 16S ribosomal RNA
Rfam family: Bacterial small subunit ribosomal RNA
Source: RNAcentral